GGGGAAUAUUGCGCAAUGGGCGGAAGCCUGACGCAGCGACGCCGCGUGAGGGAUGAAGGCCUUCGGGUUGUAAACCUCUUUCAGCAGGAACGAAUACAGACGGUACCUGCAGAAGAAGCACCGGCUAACUACGUGCCAGCAGCCGCGGUAAUACGUAGGGUGCAAGCGUUGUCCGGAUUUAUUGGGCGUAAAGAGCUCGUAGGCGGUUUGUCGCGUCGACUGUGAAAGCCCGGGGCUCAACUCCGGGUCUGCAGUCGAUACGGGCAGACUAGAGUUCGGUAGGGGAGACUGGAAUUCCUGGUGUAGCGGUGAAAUGCGCAGAUAUCAGGAGGAACACCGGUGGCGAAGGCGGGUCUCUGGGCCGAUACUGACGCUGAGGAGCGAAAGCGUGGGGAGCAAAC
Molecule: ribosomal RNA, 401 nt
Filed under: uncultured bacterium
Lineage: Bacteria
Description: bacterial SSU rRNA
Rfam family: Bacterial small subunit ribosomal RNA
Source: RNAcentral